Molecule: ribosomal RNA, 86 nt
Filed under: Sphingobacterium detergens
Lineage: Bacteria; Pseudomonadati; Bacteroidota; Sphingobacteriia; Sphingobacteriales; Sphingobacteriaceae
Also listed under: 1 other name
Source: RNAcentral
CCUCUUCCCAUUCCGAACAGAGCAGUCAAGCCCGCCAGAGCCGAUGGUAUUGCCGUAACAGGUGGGAGAGUAGGUCGGUGCCUUUU